Astrocystis sublimbata is the source of this 72-nucleotide non-coding RNA. The record is from the annotation of a GenBank genome assembly. Lineage: Eukaryota; Fungi; Ascomycota; Sordariomycetes; Xylariales; Xylariaceae.
GCACUCGUAGAGUAGUAGUUAACUCAUUCCUCUCCCAAAGGAAAGACCCGGGUGCGAAUCCCGGCGGGUGCA